This 190-nucleotide ribosomal RNA is filed under the name Ganoderma gibbosum. RNAcentral's name for it is "partial internal transcribed spacer 1". The record is from RNAcentral. Lineage: Eukaryota; Fungi; Basidiomycota; Agaricomycetes; Polyporales; Polyporaceae.
CAUUAUCGAAUCUUUGAAGGAGCUGUUUGCUGGCCCUUGACGGGGCAUGUGCACGCUUCGCUCAAAUCCUCCAUUCAUACCCCUGUGCAUCGUUUGUAGGGUCGCGUCGGUCGAGAGGCCGCACGCGCUCUAUGUCUAUCAUAAACUCUUGUAUGUGUAGAAUGUUCAAUGCGUCCGACGCAUCUUUAUA